CGACAAUACACGGGGCUAAGCUGGACACCGAAGCGGCGGGAUUUUAUCUAUAUAGAAUCGGUAGGGGAGCUUCCCAUGGGCGGGGAAGCCGCCGGGCGACCGGCGGUGGAGCGCAUGGGAGUGAGAAUGCUGGCAUGAGUAGCGAGAGACGAGAGAGUAACUCGUCCGCCGUGAACCCGAGGUUUCCUGGGCAAGGCUAAUCCUCCCAGGGUCAGUCGGGGGCUAAGGCGAGGCCGGAAGGCGUAGCCGACGCGCAGCAGGCAGACAUUCCUGCACCGCGCACGCGGCGCUACGACCGACGGGGCGACGGAUGGGGGUGGCUCGGCGGGGUUCUGGACGUCCCCGUGAUGGAGCGCGGCCCGCGGACCAGGGAAAUCCGGUCCGCAGGAGGGCGAGGCUCCGGACGAAGCACUUAAGCGAAGCGAGUGAGCCCGAGGUCCCUAGAAAAACCCCUAGGCAGGCGCGUGCGCGCCCGUACCGCAAACCGACACAGGUGGGUGGGUAGAACAUACCGAGGCGAUCGGGUCAACCAUGGUCAAGGAACUCGGCACAAUGGCCCCGUAACUUCGGGAGAAGGGGUGCCCGCGCGUACGUGAACGGACUUGCUCCGGGAGCGGAGGCGGGCCGCAGUGGAGAGGCCCAAGCGACUGUUUACCAAAAACACAGGACUCUGCAGAAGCCGCAAGGCGACGUAUAGGGUCUGACGCCUGCCCGGUGCCGGAAGGUCACGCGGAGGAGUUAGCGCAUCGCGCGAAGCCCCGAAGCCAAGCCCCGGUAAACGGCGGCCGUAACUAUAACGGUCCUAAGGUAGCGAAAUUCCUUGUCGGGUAAGUUCCGACCUGCACGAAAGGCGCAACGACUUGGGCGCUGUCUCGACCAUGGACCCGGUGAAAUUGCACUGGUCGUGAAGAUGCGACUUACCCGCGGAAGGACGGAAAGACCCCGUGAACCUUCACUGCAGCUUGGCAUUGGCCGCUGGUCCCGCGUGUAGAGGAUAGGCAGGAGGCAUCGAUCCGGAGGCGCCAGCCCCCGGGGAGCCGCCCUUGGAAUACUGCCCUCGCGCGACCGGCGUCCUAACCCGAGGCCGUCAACCGGCUCGGGGACCGUGCCAGGCGGGCAGUUUGACUGGGGCGGUCGCCUCCUAAAGGGUAACGGAGGCGCGCGAAGGUCCGCUCGGGACGGUCGGCAACCGUCCUUUUGAAUGCAAGAGUACAAGCGGGCUUGACUGCGAGGCCCACAAGCCGAGCAGGUGCGAAAGCAGGCUCUAGUGAUCCGGCGGCCCCGAGUGGGUGGGCCGUCGCUCAACGGAUAAAAGGUACUCCGGGGAUAACAGGCUGAUCUUGCCCAAGAGUCCACAUCGACGGCAAGGUUUGGCACCUCGAUGUCGGCUCAUCGCAUCCUGGGGCUGGAGCAGGUCCCAAGGGUACGGCUGUUCGCCGUUUAAAGCGGUACGCGAGCUGGGUUCAGAACGUCGUGAGACAGUUCGGUCCCUAUCCUCCGUGGGCGCAGGAGAAUCGAUGGAGGCUGCCCCCAGUACGAGAGGACCGGGGUGGACGCACCUCCGGUGAACCGGUUGUCGACCAACGGCACGGCCGGGUAGCCGCGUGCGGCGCGGAUAACCGCUGAAGGCAUCUAAGCGGGAAGCCGUUCCAGGGAUUAGUUCUCCUUCCGGUAAGGGCCCAGGUAGACUACCUGGUCGAUAGACGGCAGGUGCAAGGCUGGCGACAGCCUCAGCCGAGCCGCACUAAUCGCCCGAGCUCUUCC
This 1764-nucleotide ribosomal RNA is filed under the name Collinsella sp. AM16-21. Its description in RNAcentral is "bacterial LSU rRNA". It matches the Rfam family "Bacterial large subunit ribosomal RNA", at positions 1165 to 2925 of the family's 2925-position model. Lineage: Bacteria; Bacillati; Actinomycetota; Coriobacteriia; Coriobacteriales; Coriobacteriaceae. The record is from RNAcentral.